CUGGCGGCGGCCUAACACAUGCAGUCGAGCGGUAGCACAGAGAGCUUGCUCUCGGGUGACGAGCGGCGGACGGGUGAGUAAUGUCUGGGAAACUGCCUGAUGGAGGGGGAUAACUACUGGAAACGGUAGCUAAUACCGCAUAAUGUCGCAAGACCAAAGUGGGGGACCUUCGGGCCUCAUGCCAUCAGAUGUGCCCAGAUGGGAUUAGCUAGUAGGUGGGGUAACGGCUCACCUAGGCGACGAUCCCUAGCUGGUCUGAGAGGAUGACCAGCCACACUGGAACUGAGACACGGUCCAGACUCCUACGGGAGGCAGCAGUGGGGAAUAUUGCACAAUGGGCGCAAGCCUGAUGCAGCCAUGCCGCGUGUGUGAAGAAGGCCUUCGGGUUGUAAAGCACUUUCAGCGGGGAGGAAGGCGAUAAGGUUAAUAACCUUGUCGAUUGACGUUACCCGCAGAAGAAGCACCGGCUAACUCCGUGCCAGCAGCCGCGGUAAUACGGAGGGUGCAAGCGUUAAUCGGAAUUACUGGGCGUAAAGCGCACGCAGGCGGUCUGUCAAGUCGGAUGUGAAAUCCCCGGGCUCAACCUGGGAACUGCAUUCGAAACUGGCAGGCUAGAGUCUUGUAGAGGGGGGUAGAAUUCCAGGUGUAGCGGUGAAAUGCGUAGAGAUCUGGAGGAAUACCGGUGGCGAAGGCGGCCCCCUGGACAAAGACUGACGCUCAGUGCGAAAGCGUGGGGAGCAAACAGGAUUAGAUACCCUGGUAGUCCACGCCGUAAACGAUGUCGAUUUGGAGGUUGUGCCCUUGAGGCGUGGCUUCCGGAGCUAACGCGUUAAAUCGACCGCCUGGGGAGUACGGCCGCAAGGUUAAAACUCAAAUGAAUUGACGGGGGCCCGCACAAGCGGUGGAGCAUGUGGUUUAAUUCGAUGCAACGCGAAGAACCUUACCUGGUCUUGACAUCCACAGAACUUUCCAGAGAUGGAUUGGUGCCUUCGGGAACUGUGAGACAGGUGCUGCAUGGCUGUCGUCAGCUCGUGUUGUGAAAUGUUGGGUUAAGUCCCGCAACGAGCGCAACCCUUAUCCUUUGUUGCCAGCGGUUAGGCCGGGAACUCAAAGGAGACUGCCAGUGAUAAACUGGAGGAAGGUGGGGAUGACGUCAAGUCAUCAUGGCCCUUACGACCAGGGCUACACACGUGCUACAAUGGCAUAUACAAAGAGAAGCGACCUCGCGAGAGCAAGCGGACCUCAUAAAGUAUGUCGUAGUCCGGAUUGGAGUCUGCAACUCGACUCCAUGAAGUCGGAAUCGCUAGUAAUCGUAGAUCAGAAUGCUACGGUGAAUACGUUCCCGGGCCUUGUACACACCGCCCGUCACACCAUGGGAGUGGGUUGCAAAAGAAGUAGGUAGCUUAACCUUCGGGAGGGCGCUUACCACUUUGUUCCC
RNAcentral lists this ribosomal RNA (1438 nucleotides) under Klebsiella pneumoniae. Its description in RNAcentral is "bacterial SSU rRNA". It matches the Rfam family "Bacterial small subunit ribosomal RNA". Lineage: Bacteria; Pseudomonadati; Pseudomonadota; Gammaproteobacteria; Enterobacterales; Enterobacteriaceae. The record is from RNAcentral.